This is a non-coding RNA of Vicia faba (fava bean), 291 nucleotides long. NCBI's taxonomy places the organism in Eukaryota, Viridiplantae, Streptophyta, Magnoliopsida, Fabales, Fabaceae. The record is from the annotation of a GenBank genome assembly.
AUGCACGGUGGCGGUAUCGAUUCAGGCUGGGACGGCGUAUGGUUGUUGUCAGUUAGGGUGACGCUCAGUCGAGAACGGUGGAAGAUUGUGCGAAGGGAUCCUAGAUGUGGCGAUGCCCUGCGGCUGAGGCAGCUCGGAUCGGAGAUGGUGCUCGCGGUGGGUUUUGUACGCUGGAGGGAGGACGUUACCGUCAAGGUAGCUGUAGCAUACGGUUGCGGAUUUGAGGCGGAGGAUGUCAUGUGGUUGAGGGGUUGCAUAGAGGAAGAAGGAUGGACGGUGUUGGCUCCGUAG